RNAcentral lists this ribosomal RNA (717 nucleotides) under Bolbitius cf. vitellinus SOC1248. RNAcentral's name for it is "eukaryotic LSU rRNA". The stretch from base 212 to 365 matches the Rfam family "5.8S ribosomal RNA". Lineage: Eukaryota; Fungi; Basidiomycota; Agaricomycetes; Agaricales; Bolbitiaceae. The record is from RNAcentral.
CGGGAGCAUGUGCACGCCGGUCACUUUUAUCUUACCACCUGUGAACACUUUGUAGAUCUGGAGGCAUCUUCACAGACUCUUUUGUCUGUGGUUUUUGGAAGCUGUCGUUCGACUCUUCCUGGCCUUCAGGUUUAUGUCUUUACAUCUACACCAUAAGCAUGUAAACGAAUGAAAUCAAUGGCAGCUUCAUUGCAGCCUAUAAAACUUAAACAACUUUCAGCAACGGAUCUCUUGGCUCUCGCAUCGAUGAAGAACGCAGCGAAAUGCGAUAAGUAAUGUGAAUUGCAGAAUUCAGUGAAUCAUCGAAUCUUUGAACGCACCUUGCGCUCCUUGGUAUUCCGAGGAGCAUGCCUGUUUGAGUGUCAUUAAAUUCUCAACCAUCCUGUCUUUCUUUCAAGAGGGCGGUGAUGCGUUGGAUGUGGGGACCUGCCUGUUUCUUACGAGACUUCGGCUUCCCUUAAAAGCAUUAGCUAGAGCGCUUCUGUUGACUAGCUGCUAGUGUGAUAAUUAUCUACACUGUGGCCAACGAAGGAAACUCUGCUUCUAAUCGUCUGCUUGCAGACAACUCCUGAUAUCUUGACCUCAAAUCAGGUAGGACUACCCGCUGAACUUAAGCAUAUCAAUAAGCGGAGGAAAAGAAACUAACAAGGAUUCCCCUAGUAACUGCGAGUGAAGCGGGAAAAGCUCAAAUUUAAAUCUGGCAGUCUUUGAUUGUCC